UACGUAGGGUCCAAGCGUUGUCCGGAAUUAUUGGGCGUAAAGAGCUCGUAGGCGGUUUGUUAAGUCAGUUGUGAAAGCCCAGAGCUCAACUGUGGAAUUGCGGUUGAUACUGGCGGGCUUGAGUACGGAAGAGGCGAGUGGAAUUCCUGGUGUAGCGGUGGAAUGCGCAGAUAUCAGGAGGAACACCAAUGGCGAAGGCAGCUCGCUGGGCCGGUACUGACGCUGAGGCGCGAAAGCGUGGGGAGCAAACAGG
RNAcentral lists this ribosomal RNA (253 nucleotides) under uncultured bacterium. RNAcentral's name for it is "partial 16S ribosomal RNA". It matches the Rfam family "Bacterial small subunit ribosomal RNA", at positions 524 to 776 of the family's 1533-position model. The record is from RNAcentral.